AGCAUCAUGCUCAUGCCAAAGAUUAAGCCAUGCACAUGCAAGCAUAAAUUUCAUUUUUAUGGUAGGUGGAAUUAUUUUUUUAUUAAUUCCAUCAAGAAUGUGAAGCUGUUUAAGGCUCUGUAAAUCAGUCCUGAGUCUGUAGUUCUUUUUGUGGGUAAAAAACAGAUAUAUCAGGAUAACCAGACUAAAGACUGGCUAAUACAUGUUAGUAACAAAAUUAUUAUGCACAUAUAUGUAUGUAUGUAUAUCAUAUAUAUAUAUCACAUAAAUAUAUAUAUAUAUAUUUAUCUUCACAGUGAAGUAUUUUUUUAGGGAGAUAUAAAAGUGGGAGGAUUUAUAUAUAUAUAUAUAUAAAAUGUAAUAUAUAUACAUAUAUAUGUAUUUAUGUAUGUGGGUAUAUAUAAAAUAUAAAAUUGUUUUCCAUAGGAUAAUUUAUGUAAAUCACAUCGUGAAUAGAAUAUGGUAUUUUUUAAAAAAUGGCAGUAAAAAACCAUUUUACAGAUAAGCAAAACCAAUUAAUUAAAUUUAUUUUUUGUGGGGAACGGUGAGAAACUGCUCCAUCUUUCUGGGCAGCAUUGUAUUGUAGUAAGAGAUGAGAAACACGGGUAACGGAUGAUUAGGGUUAUACGCCGGAGAGGGAGCUUGAGAGGCGGCUCCCACUCCCCAGGGGGGCAGCAGGCGCGCAAAUUGUCCAAUCCUGACAUAUCCUAUCUAACAGAGAGAUACAUGUAAUAGUGUGUUUUUUGACAGGUGGGAAAAAAGGGAGACAGUGACCACAAAUAACAUUUCUCCUGUUUUUGUUUUUUUUUUCCAUGCAUAAUUUAUCUUAUGUGUGAAAGAGGAAAGCAGAUAAAUAUCUGGAGUUGGGUGGAAUGAGAACAUUUCAAAUGAUUUAUUGAGUAACCAUUGGAGGGAAAGUCUGGUGCCAGCAGCCGCGGUAAUUCCAGCUCCAAUAGUGUAAGCUAAAGUUGUUGUGAUUGAAAAGCUCGUAGUUGUAGUCAAUUCUUUUUAUAAAUCAGUUCAGCAAAUAUUCUUUUUAUUACAGGGAGAAAUGUUUAUGUAAUAAAUGAUAUGCGUGUCCUUGAAAAUAAAAAAAAUGAAAAAGUAGUGAGUGGUGGCAAUAUGGUGUGGUUUCCUUCUAGGAGGUCAUUGCAUUUUUUAGUACAGCUCAUUGUUUUUUUAUUUUUUAUACAACAAAAUGUUUUUAGGGAUGUGCAUGUUAUCUUUUUGAUAUUUCUUUUUUAUUUUGCCUUGAAAAAAUUAAAGUGUUCAAAGCAGACUUUAUAUAUAAAUUUUUUUAUGUCUCUGAAUAUCAUUAGCAUGGUACAAAAUAUUUUAUUUAGGUAAUUUAUAUGGUGGUGGKGCAUUUGCAACAAUAUAUAUAAUAAAUUAUCGCUUUUUAAUUAAUUCUAAAUGGAAGUUGUGACAGGACGACUCUGAUUUACUUGAGAGAGGUGAAAUUCUGUGUCCUUGUGAAAGAAGAACAUAGGCAAAAGCAGGUGGAAUUUUUUUAUUGUGAGAAACAUAUGUAUGUAUUUAUAUGUGUUUCACAAAAAACAAUAAUAAAGGAGUAAGCAGACUUUUAUACAAUCAAGAACGAAAGCUAGGGGAUCAAAGACGAUCAGAUACCGUCGUAGUCUUAUCUAUAAACCAUACAAGCCAAACCCUGGAGGAGAAAAUAAAAAUAUAGAGAGUGUAUGCAUGUGUGAUUUUUCAUUCCGCAUGGGUGGUUUUUCUCUAGAUUUUUUAUAUUUAGAGGAAGAGUGUUCAUGUUGAUGUAGAUCGCAUUGUGUGUAUAUUUCACAAAAAAAUAUUAUGCACUUUUUCAGGAUUUUUUUGAUUAAUUAUUUUUGUGAGAAAUCGUUGAGCGUUUGUGUUUCAGGGGGAGUAUGGCCGCAAGACUGAAACUUAAAGGAAUUGACGGAAAGGCACACCAGAGGUGGAGCGUGCGGCUCAAUUUGACUCAACACGGGAAAACUCACCAGGUCCAGACACUAGGAUGACUGACAGACUUCAUAUGUCGGGGCUAUUUUAUUGGUAAAUGGUCCUCACAUAAAAACAUAAAGCUCUUUCGGGAUUUUUUGGGUGGUGGUGCAUGGCCGUUCUUAGUUCGUGGAGUGAUUUGUCUAGUUAAUUCUGUUAACGAGCGAGAUCUCAUCCUGCUAAGGGAGAAUAAAAUAUAAAUUACUAUAAGAUAGUUUAUAAAACAAGUAGGAUUACAAAAAUAUAUUUUGUAAAUAUCAUGCAAACGUUUGUAUUUAGUAGCACGCACAAAUCGUUUUUUGUUUGUUGCUAUUUUAAAGAGUUUGCUUUUGUUUUCAAUGGACUUCUUAGAUACACAUAAUUGUAUGCCAGAUAUUUUUUAAUUUUUUAAAGGGAUUGAUGAUAGAUUAUUUUAUUUAGAGUUAAUCUCUUUUUUGAAAUCAGGAAAUUGGUAUUAAUGGGACCAUCAACGUGAUUAAAACAAGCAAAUGGAUGGAAGAGUGAGGCAAUAACAGGUCUGUGAUGCCCUUCGAUGUCCUGGGCUGCACGCGCGCGACAAUGAUAUAAACAGAAAGUUGUUGGUUUAUUUUAAUUAUAACAGAGAUUUGUUGGGGAAAAGAUAAACCUUGGGUUUGGGUUAUGUUCUUGUUGAAAAUUAAAGAUAUCAUAAAAUAAAAAAUAAAUAAGGGUGUUCUGUAUUCACGGUUUGUCUACACAACUGGCUAAUUUUAACUACCAAAGCUGAAGAGUAUUUAAAAACAAUGGAAAUCAAUAAAUAUAUGUCAUGCUGGGGAUAAAGCCUUGUAACUAUUGCUUUUGAACGUGGAAUCUCUUGUAGCUGCUCGUCAUUCAGCGAGCAUUGACUACGUCCCUGCCCUUUGUACACACCGCCCGUCGCUCCUACCGAUUGGAUGGGCAGAUGAAGGCUCUAUUUGUGAGAGGGGGUCUAGAGCACGCACUCUCUAGCAGAGUAGUGUUCUCUCCUUCGAGCGUGUCUGAAUAUUUUUAUCUAGAGGAAGGAGAAGUCGUAACAAGGUUUUU
RNAcentral lists this ribosomal RNA (3024 nucleotides) under Pelomyxa palustris. RNAcentral's name for it is "partial small subunit ribosomal RNA". It matches the Rfam family "Eukaryotic small subunit ribosomal RNA". Lineage: Eukaryota; Evosea; Pelobiontida; Pelomyxidae. The record is from RNAcentral.